This 495-nucleotide ribosomal RNA is filed under the name uncultured bacterium. RNAcentral describes it as "partial 16S ribosomal RNA". It matches the Rfam family "Bacterial small subunit ribosomal RNA", at positions 28 to 507 of the family's 1533-position model. The record is from RNAcentral.
GACGAACGCUGGCGGCGUGCCUAAUACAUGCAAGUAGAACGCUGAAGGAGGAGCUUGCUUCUCUGGAUGAGUUGCGAACGGGUGAGUAACGCGUAGGUAACCUGCCUGGUAGCGGGGGAUAACUAUUGGAAACGAUAGAUAAUACCGCAUAAUAGUAGAUGUUGCAUGACAUUUGCUUAAAAGGUGCAAUUGCAUCACUACCAGAUGGACCUGCGUUGUAUUAGCUAGUUGGUGAGGUAACGGCUCACCAAGGCGACGAUACAUAGCCGACCUGAGAGGGUGAUCGGCCACACUGGGACUGAGACACGGCCCAGACUCCUACGGGAGGCAGCAGUAGGGAAUCUUCGGCAAUGGACGGAAGUCUGACCGAGCAACGCCGCGUGAGUGAAGAAGGUUUUCGGAUCGUAAAGCUCUGUUGUAAGAGAAGAACGAGUGUGAGAGUGGAAAGUUCACACUGUGACGGUAGCUUACCAGAAAGGGACGGCUAACUACGUG